Molecule: ribosomal RNA, 469 nt
Filed under: uncultured bacterium
Lineage: Bacteria
Description: bacterial SSU rRNA
Rfam family: Bacterial small subunit ribosomal RNA
Source: RNAcentral
AUUGAACGCUGGCGGCAUGCCUUACACAUGCAAGUCGAACGGCAGCACGGGAGCAAUCCUGGUGGCGAGUGGCGAACGGGUGAGUAAUAUAUCGGAACGUGCCCAGUCGUGGGGAUAACGUAGCGAAAGCUACGCUAAUACCGCAUACGAUCUAUGGAUGAAAGCGGGGGGAUCGCAAGACCUCGCGCGAUUGGAGCGGCCGAUAUCAGAUUAGGUAGUUGGUGAGGUAAAGGCUCACCAAGCCGACGAUCUGUAGCUGGUCUGAGAGGACGACCAGCCACACUGGGACUGAGACACGGUCCAGACUCCUACGGGAGGCAGCAGUGGGGAAUUUUUGGGACAAUGGACGCAAGUCUGAUCCAGCCAUUCCGCGUGCAGGAUGAAGGCCCUCGGGUUGUAAACUGCUUUUGUACGGAACGAAAAGGUUUGUCUUAAUACGAUGAGCUCAUGACGGUACCGUAAGAAUAAG